CACGGUCAGCUCGUGGGAAUGCCUUCCCGCAAUGUUCAAGAACCGAAAUUUUCUCUUUGAAAACAUUUAAUAUAUUUUAGGCCUCCGCUGAAAUGCCUUGAACAGCCCAUUUUGAACCAGAAUAAUUUAGUCUGACAACAGAUUCUUCCUCUGUUCACAGCCUUCCCACAAGGAGGAGCUGAAAUCCGAACCUCUCGGCUGUGAUUGGAUGCUUCUAGAAAAAGCCAGGGAGAAAACCCCUCCCAGUCCAGAAGAGCUCAGUCGGGCAGGGAGCCCGGUGACUUCAGAGGCGCCCGCCUGUCCCCCGCCGCACCUGAGCCGCUGCGAAGCUGUAGGACCGCCGCCUGGACCGUAUAACGCCCGCGCCCGCCCGCCCCACCAUGCCGCGCUCCUUCCUGGUCAAGAAACAUUUCAACGCCUCCAAGAAGCCCAACUACAGCGAGCUGGACACACACACAGAUUCAGUAUACAAACAGAAGGGAAAAAUAAUUUCAUAUUGCUUAAAUCUUCAAAGAACAUAUCCUGAUGUAUUAGAGGCACUGUUAUGUCUGAGAGGAGACACAGACCAUGCACAGAAACAAAUG
Long non-coding RNA from Microtus oregoni (creeping vole), 584 nucleotides. RefSeq lists it as uncharacterized. The record is from RefSeq and is a predicted model, not a curated record. Lineage: Eukaryota; Metazoa; Chordata; Mammalia; Rodentia; Cricetidae. The transcript is spliced from 3 exons.